UCAAACUCCUGACCUCAAGUAAACCUCCCAAAGUGCUGGAAUUACAGGCAUGAGCCACCACCCCGAGCAGCAAUACCUUUCUUAAUGUGAUUUGCUUAUAUUUGCAUCUCAUUGAAUAGGAGUGAUAUAAAACAAAUAUCCACAUUUAUAUAUAUUGAAAAGAGUUAUUGUCAUUAAUUGUGAGGUAAAAAUUAUAAGGCAUAGGAAGUAUUUGUACCAUAUCUUGUCAAUUUUAUUCCUUUACUGUGGCGUAAAAUAAUGAUGUAUUUUGCAAUUGAUACAAAAAAUGCAUUUAAAUUACUUAGAAAACACUGUCAGUGUUGGCAUACUGAUGUUGUGAUUACUAUAGACCUGAUAUUUAUCUACAGGCAUUAUGUAUCAUUAGUUCAUUCAUUCCUCCCAAAAUAUCAAAAGGUAGGUUCUGCUACCACUCCUAUGUACAAGUUCUGAAUUUGAGCUAAAGCCCUGCAAAAAAAGGAAGAGAAUAUGCUCUAAUCUGUCUCCACAGUCCUUGCUCCCAUAAACUAUGUUAUAAAAUGUUUUUCUGUUAAAUUGUGACUACAUUGUAGGUCUAAUUUAGUAAAUCUUAUGCUAGCCCAUAGUCAUGAAGAUAUUUUCCUAACAUAGGUUGUAAAUACUAUAUUAAACUGUAUUUGUAUUUGGAUCUAUGAUGCACCUGCAAUUAAUUUUAUGUGUAAUGUGAAGUUAAAGGUACAUUUAACUUCCUUCAGUGAAUAUCAAUUUCCUGGAACAUUGAUUGUAAAAGCCAUCUUUCUACUAAUAAUUGCUCUUAUUACUUAUUUGCAUUUAUAUUAUUUUGUCUGUUUUGAGCUUUCCUUUAUUUCAUUGGUUCACCUUUCUAUCUGUGCAAACAUUACAUUGUCUUAAUUACUAAGAGUCUUCAUUUAAUCCAAGAAUUUUCCAUCCACAGCCCUUUAGCCUAUCUAUUGUCGUGUUCUAAAAAGAAGAAAGAGGCGAGUAAAUCCUGGAUGCCUUGCUCCUACACCAAUAUUUCCAGCUGUACCUUGAAAUAAAAGGAUUUAGAACUUGAGAACAUUGCUGUUGUUGCUUAUGUCUCUAAUGUUCUCAAGAAUCUUAGACAAUCCCUGAACACUGCGCCCCACUUUAUUUGUUUAGUACAGUCCCAGUGAAAUAAAUUAGAUGUCAAGGCUCCUCAUUAUGUUUGCCUGGUUUUUGGAACCUGGGAGACUUUGUACUCCUCCAGCAACAGCCAGAGGUGGCAGAGACCUGUCAGUCAUUCCCUGGGUGCCUCCUGCGCAAGCGCAGUUGUCCUCCUGCUGCCGACCACGAAUGCGGUGCUCCUGCUGCAGACCACGCCUACCAAGGGUCGGCCUCAGCCACUGCAGCUGAGCUCAGAGCCUUCUGUGGGGUUUGCGGGGGGCAAGGUCAGCUGCCCACUGCCCUCCCUCUGGGGCUAUUUGAGGAAUGCGGUCCUUUUGCAUAAGAAAGGCUUUUCUCUGCAAUAAUUGUGUUCGCUGAUCAAUGACACCUUCCUGAUGUAAGUGGGAUCCGUGGAUCUGAAAAUUCACAGUGGCCCACUCACCACCACCUGAUGAAGAAUACACCACAGGGUGAGAGCAUCCUAACAGCAAACUGCAAAUGAAGUGGGUUUGCAGCUGCACAGAGAAGGGACCCCAGAGGCGAGGAUAAUUCGUCCGACCUCACUGGUGAGAAUACGUAGGUGUUGAAC
Long non-coding RNA from Cercocebus atys (sooty mangabey), 1711 nucleotides. RefSeq lists it as uncharacterized. The transcript is spliced from 3 exons. NCBI's taxonomy places the organism in Eukaryota, Metazoa, Chordata, Mammalia, Primates, Cercopithecidae. The record is from RefSeq and is a predicted model, not a curated record.